GACGAACGCUGGCGGCGUGCUUAACACAUGCAAGUCGAACGGAAAGGCCCUGCUUUUGUGGGGUGCUCGAGUGGCGAACGGGUGAGUAACACGUGAGUAACCUGCCCUUGACUUUGGGAUAACUUCAGGAAACUGGGGCUAAUACCGGAUAGGAGCUCCUGCUGCAUGGUGGGGGUUGGAAAGUUUCGGCGGUUGGGGAUGGACUCGCGGCUUAUCAGCUUGUUGGUGGGGUAGUGGCUUACCAAGGCUUUGACGGGUAGCCGGCCGGGGAGGGUGACAGGCCACAUUGGGACUGAGAUACGGCCCGGCCCCCUCCGGGAGGCAGAGGUGGGGAAGAUUGCACAAGGGGAGGAAGCCUAAUGCAGCACCGCCGCGUGGGGGAUGAGGGCCAUCGGGUUGUAAACCAAUUCCCCCUGUGCCGAGGCGUGAGUGACGGUAAUGGGUAAAGAAGCACCGGCUAACUACGUG
This 468-nucleotide ribosomal RNA is filed under the name uncultured bacterium. RNAcentral's name for it is "partial 16S ribosomal RNA". It matches the Rfam family "Bacterial small subunit ribosomal RNA", at positions 28 to 507 of the family's 1533-position model. The record is from RNAcentral.